CGGCCGCGUCGACGGGACGGAGAAGGCUAGGUGAGCCAGGCGUUGGUUGUCCUGGUGAAAGUGAGUAGGCUGGCGUCUUAGGAAAAUCCGGGACGCUUUAAGGCCGAGACACGAUAUGAACUGACCACGGUCAGGAAGUCACUGAUGCCACGCUUCCAGGAAAAGCCUCUAAGCUUCAGAUCAUGUGCGACCGUACCCCAAACCGACACAGGUGGUCAGGGUGAGAAUCCCAAGGCGCUUGAGAGAACUCGGGUGAAGGAACUAGGCAAAAUGGUGCCGUAACUUCGGGAGAAGGCACGCCGGCGUAGGGUGACGAGACUUGCUCUCCUAGCCCGAACCGGUCGAAGAUACCAGGUGGCUGCAACUGUUUAUUAAAAACACAGCACUCUGCUAACGCGCAAGCGGACGUAUAGGGUGUGACGCCUGCCCGGUGCCGGAAGGUUAAAUGAUGGUGUUAGCCGCAAGGCAAAGCUCUUGAUUGAAGCCCCGGUAAACGCGCGUAACAUAACGGUCAGUAGCGAAUCUGUCGGUAGUUCGACCUGCACGAUAGG
RNAcentral lists this ribosomal RNA (551 nucleotides) under uncultured Halomonas sp. Its description in RNAcentral is "bacterial LSU rRNA". It matches the Rfam family "Bacterial large subunit ribosomal RNA", at positions 1456 to 1999 of the family's 2925-position model. The record is from RNAcentral. Lineage: Bacteria; Pseudomonadati; Pseudomonadota; Gammaproteobacteria; Oceanospirillales; Halomonadaceae.